Molecule: long non-coding RNA, 824 nt
Organism: Acipenser ruthenus (sterlet)
Lineage: Eukaryota; Metazoa; Chordata; Actinopteri; Acipenseriformes; Acipenseridae
Exons: 6
Source: RefSeq, a predicted model, not a curated record
GUUCGAUCUCGAGCAAUGGAGGGCAUCAGCGCCACACCACAUUGGAUAAUAAACGCUAGAAAAAACAUUGAACAUUCACAGCAGUGGAAAGGUUUCACUGCAGAGCUGUUUGAUGCAGUCCAACAGCAGCUAGUGGAGAGUCAUGUUAACUUCUUCACUGAUCUCUCCGAGGCAGAGAAAACACUGUUUCUGGAGAGAGCCGCUAAAGCUAUCCGCAGAGUUACAUCACCUACAAAGAAGUUGUGCUUCAGAUCAGCUCCUGCUUAGAGGAUCAGCUGAGCAGCUGUGUUGCCAUAGAGAUGCAGGAGAGUGGCAGCGUGUCUACCAAAUCAGAUCGCUUUCAGAGUCAUGUCCGGGAUGGAAUGGUCAAUCUUUUACAAAAGUGGCCUAACAUGAAAUACAAACUUCAUGCCCUCUUCAAUCACCCUUUAUCUUCAGAAAUCAGAAAAGUUGCUUGGAGACUCUUUCUGUCCAACACAAAGGGAGGCAGGAGCCAGGCCUGCAUAAAGGAACUACUAGAAGAGACUAAGUGCUUGUGACUUUAGCAACAGCACUGGGGUUUCCUCUUGACUACUCGGAGAACCGCCAUCACUGAGGUGAGGCUGAACCGAUCAACCUCCAAGGCCGGGAAGCAAGGAACUUCCCUCAAGGGGAAACUAAGGAAGGAUACAGGACGAACUAAGGUCUCCCUGGAUUACUGAUAGAGGCUUCUGCUAACACUGAAGGGGUUGUUGUGUUUGAAGAAGUGGCUCAGAUGCUUGGACAAAAGGACAAGGAACUGUCCAAUGUGAUUCAGAAAAUAUACACACAACAAGGUAUCAAAC